This 460-nucleotide ribosomal RNA is filed under the name uncultured bacterium. Its description in RNAcentral is "partial 16S ribosomal RNA". It matches the Rfam family "Bacterial small subunit ribosomal RNA", at positions 338 to 795 of the family's 1533-position model. The record is from RNAcentral.
CCUACGGGUGGCUGCAGUGAGGAAUAUUGGUCAAUGGACGCAAGUCUGAACCAGCCAUGCCGCGUGCAGGAUGACGGCCCUAUGAGUUGUAAACUGCUUUUGUACGAGGGUAAACCCCGAUACGUGUAUCUGUUUGUAAGUACCGUACGAAUAAGGAUCGGCUAACUCUGUGCCAGCAGCCGCGGUAAUACGGAGGAUCCGAGCGUUAUCCGGAUUUAUUGGGUUUAAAGGGAGCGUAGGUGGUUUGAUAAGUUAGAUGUGAAAUGUCGGGGCUCAACCCCGAAACUGCCAGUGAUACUGUUAGACUAGAGAAUAGUUGCGGUAGGCGGAAUGUAUGGUGUAGCGGUGAAAUGCUUAGAGAUCAUGAAGAACACCGAUUGCGAAGGCAGCUUACCAAACUAUAACUGACGUUGAGGCACGAAAGCGUGGGUAGCAAACAGGAUUAGAUACCCUUGUAGUC